UAAAAAGAGGUGUUGUGGAUGCACUGGAGGUUUUGAUCCUUCAAGGGUGGGUUCGAGUCCCAUUUUUUUAA
This 71-nucleotide transfer RNA is filed under the name Plesiolebias aruana. RNAcentral describes it as "tRNA-Gln". It matches the Rfam family "tRNA". From Rfam's summary of the family: Transfer RNA (tRNA) molecules are approximately 80 nucleotides in length. Their secondary structure includes four short double-helical elements and three loops (D, anti-codon, and T loops). Further hydrogen bonds mediate the characteristic L-shaped molecular structure. tRNAs have two regions of fundamental functional importance: the anti-codon, which is responsible for specific mRNA codon recognition, and the 3' end, to which the tRNAs corresponding amino acid is attached (by aminoacyl-tRNA synthetases). tRNAs cope with the degeneracy of the genetic code in two manners: having more than one tRNA (with a specific anti-codon) for a particular amino acid; and 'wobble' base-pairing, i.e. permitting non-standard base-pairing at the 3rd anti-codon position. Lineage: Eukaryota; Metazoa; Chordata; Actinopteri; Cyprinodontiformes; Rivulidae. The record is from RNAcentral.